UGAGGGAUAUUGGUCAAUGGGCGCAAGCCUGAACCAGCGACGCCGCGUGGGUGAAGAAGGUCUUCGGAUCGUAAAGCCCUUUUCCCACUGAAGAGGAAGGACGGUAGGUGGGGAAGAAGUCUCGGCUAACUACGUGCCAGCAGCCGCGGUAAAACGUAGGAGACAAGCGUUAUCCGGAGUUACUGGGCGUAAAGGGCGUGCAGGUGGCGUCUUAAGUCUGUUGUGAAAGCGCCUGGCUUAACCGGGCGAGGCCAAUGGAGACUGAGAGGCUGGAGGACGGCGGAGGGGUGUGGAACUCCGGGUGUAGUGGUGAAAUGCGUAGAGAUCCGGAGGAACACCAGAGGCGAAGGCGGCACUCUAAGCCGUACCUGACACUGAGACGCGACAGCACGGGGAGCAAACG
RNAcentral lists this ribosomal RNA (403 nucleotides) under uncultured bacterium. RNAcentral's name for it is "bacterial SSU rRNA". It matches the Rfam family "Bacterial small subunit ribosomal RNA", at positions 355 to 774 of the family's 1533-position model. The record is from RNAcentral.